CAAAAUAUAGUUUAAAUUAAAAUAUUAAUUUUGGAGAUUAAAGAUAUAUAUAUGUAUUAUAUUUUUUUGA
RNAcentral lists this transfer RNA (70 nucleotides) under Polistes jokahamae. Its description in RNAcentral is "tRNA-Pro". Lineage: Eukaryota; Metazoa; Arthropoda; Insecta; Hymenoptera; Vespidae. The record is from RNAcentral.